RNAcentral lists this ribosomal RNA (545 nucleotides) under Colletotrichum horii. Its description in RNAcentral is "eukaryotic LSU rRNA". The stretch from base 190 to 343 matches the Rfam family "5.8S ribosomal RNA". Lineage: Eukaryota; Fungi; Ascomycota; Sordariomycetes; Glomerellales; Glomerellaceae. The record is from RNAcentral.
CUGCGGAGGGAUCAUUACUGAGUUUACGCUCUACAACCCUUUGUGAACAUACCUAUAACUGUUGCUUCGGCGGGCAGGGUCUCCGUGACCCUCCCGGCCUCCCGCCCCCGGGCGGGUCGGCGCCCGCCGGAGGAUAACCAAACUCUGAUUUAACGACGUUUCUUCUGAGUGGUACAAGCAAAUAAUCAAAACUUUUAACAACGGAUCUCUUGGUUCUGGCAUCGAUGAAGAACGCAGCGAAAUGCGAUAAGUAAUGUGAAUUGCAGAAUUCAGUGAAUCAUCGAAUCUUUGAACGCACAUUGCGCCCGCCAGCAUUCUGGCGGGCAUGCCUGUUCGAGCGUCAUUUCAACCCUCAAGCUCUGCUUGGUGUUGGGGCCCUACAGCCGAUGUAGGCCCUCAAAGGUAGUGGCGGACCCUCCCGGAGCCUCCUUUGCGUAGUAACUUUACGUCUCGCACUGGGAUCCGGAGGGACUCUUGCCGUAAAACCCCCAAUUCUCCAAAGGUUGACCUCGGAUCAGGUAGGAAUACCCGCUGAACUUAAGCAU